GGUGGUUCUCAGGUGAUGCACCCCAAAAUCGGGCUCCCUCCUCUCUGGUUUCAGGUGCAUCACCCAAGAACCACA
Molecule: non-coding RNA, 75 nt
Organism: Myotis davidii
Lineage: Eukaryota; Metazoa; Chordata; Mammalia; Chiroptera; Vespertilionidae
Source: Rfam